CGCACCAACCCGAGGAGCCGGAAGUGUUUAUCGAAUUGCCUACUGACAAAAGUUUACAGUUAAUCAAUAGUUUUACAUAAAUAUUAAUAUUUCCAGACAGUACAGUGCAACAUGUGGUCCGAAAUCGCUGACAAAAUUAGGUAAUAACAGGAAAUAUAUGGAAGGCAAUAUAAGGUAUAUGCAUAGCUUGGAAAUUGUAAUCGUUGCUCGCUCGCUCCGCUCGCUCGUAAAAAUCUAGUCCAACCUUACAACCGAUCCGAC
Molecule: unclassified non-coding RNA, 261 nt
Filed under: Bombus terrestris (buff-tailed bumblebee)
Lineage: Eukaryota; Metazoa; Arthropoda; Insecta; Hymenoptera; Apidae
Description: misc RNA ENSBTSG00005023576.1
Source: RNAcentral